CUAGCCUUCCACUUUUGCCCCUCCACAUUCACUCUGAAACCCAACACUCUCCUACAGUCCGGCGCAAAUCCCAAACAAGGCCGAUCAACUUCUUCCUCUUUCAUCGACACCGAAGGCGUGGAUCUGAUCGGAAACUCCCAACUCGUUCAAUAGCACCAUGGAUCCAUUUUCUAUUGCGGUUAGUGUCGGAUCUCUCCCUUAUUUUUCUACACUUUUGUGGCCAUGAAUCCCUAUUUUUUACCCAUUGCUGCUGCUAUAAAAUGGUAUGAAUUUAACUCAUAAUAACUUGUCAUUACAUGUUCAGUAACGUAAAGUAUGUAUGAAAGAGCAACGGUCGACAACGGCUUCAGGAGAGAAUUCUGGGCAACUAAAAAAUUUGGGAAUGCAGAAAUUGGAAAAGGGAAAAUACAAUCAUUUUUUUCCAAGUUUUCGUCAUCAAGAAUUUGGGCGGGGGGUAUAGAAAUUCUUCACAGAAAAUAUGUUGUGGUUGAAAACUUUCCGCUUUCCUCAUUCAAGGGGUGAAGUGGAUUUUGUAGCAAUGACAAAUCCUCCUAAAUGCAUCUGAGCCUAUAAUAAUCAUUGGUUGUCAUUUUCAUUUGUUCACCAUAGAAUAUGCUUUACAAUAUGUAGAUUUGUUGGCCUUCUUAUAAAAAAGCCCAGUUUGAAUUUCAUAUUCUCUGUAAUAACUUGGUGUUGUGUACACCUGAAGCCAGGAGUUAUGCAAUAAGAUGUAUUGGAACACUUCCAUUUUGUAUAAUUGUAGCCUGUAGGUUUUACACUUUUGCUUACGCUUUUGUAUUAUUAAAUUUGUUUGAUUGCAAG
RNAcentral lists this long non-coding RNA (822 nucleotides) under Olea europaea (common olive). RNAcentral describes it as "long non-coding RNA (OEUR_LNC010972)". The record is from RNAcentral. Lineage: Eukaryota; Viridiplantae; Streptophyta; Magnoliopsida; Lamiales; Oleaceae.